Molecule: ribosomal RNA, 338 nt
Filed under: uncultured Spirochaetota bacterium
Lineage: Bacteria; Pseudomonadati; Spirochaetota
Description: bacterial SSU rRNA
Rfam family: Bacterial small subunit ribosomal RNA
Source: RNAcentral
AACGAACGCUGGCGGCGUGUCUUAAGCAUGCAAGUCGAACGAGAACCCGGAGCUUGCUUCGGGGGGCAGUGGCGAACGGGUGAGUAACACGUGGGUAAUCUACCCUCGGAUGGGGGAUAGCACUAGGAAACUAGUGAUAAUACCGCAUUACGUCGCCUUGUCACAAGACAGGGCGAACAAAGGCGCCCUCUGUAUAUGGUGCCGUCUGAGGAUGAGCCCGCGGCCUAUUAGCUAGUUGGUAGGGUAAUGGCCUACCAAGGCGACGAUGGGUAGCCGGCCUGAGAGGGUGUUCGGCCACAUUGGGACUGAGACACGGCCCAGACUCCUACGGGAGGCAG